GACCUCAGAUCAGACGAGAUGACCCGCUGAAUUUAAGCAUAUCAAUAAGGCGGA
Molecule: ribosomal RNA, 54 nt
Filed under: Anelosimus eximius
Lineage: Eukaryota; Metazoa; Arthropoda; Arachnida; Araneae; Theridiidae
Description: partial 28S ribosomal RNA
Source: RNAcentral